AAGGAUAAUAUACGGAAAUAUCACCAACAGGUGAUAGACGGAAUUAACAUGACAUAUUGUAUUCAGUUUUGAAUGCUCAUUCAUUUGAGGAUUCAACGAUUGUACAUUGAAAACUAGAUAAGUAAGUAUAGAUUUUACCAAGCAAAACCGAGUGACAAGCGAAAGCUUGAAACAAAAUUAUCGCUAGUCGUCGACAGACGACUCACAUAAUUAAUAACUGGUGAAUUGAGURAAAGCUCAAUCAUAAAA
Molecule: unclassified non-coding RNA, 249 nt
Filed under: Staphylococcus schleiferi subsp. schleiferi
Lineage: Bacteria; Bacillati; Bacillota; Bacilli; Caryophanales; Staphylococcaceae
Description: 16S-23S ribosomal RNA intergenic spacer
Source: RNAcentral